GCGCGCGGUUCUUCUUCACUUUCGCUUGCUGCCAGGAGAGUGUGCUCCCAAGCCGGGAGUGCUUUCCCAAGCUUGGGUGUGCUUUCCAAGCCGGGCGCCUUCAUCAAGUUCCCAUUGCACUGAACUGAAUGGUGCUGUACAGUUUUUUCUCGUUAAUGCCAUCAUCAAUACUCAGAUCACUUUCUUAAGAAGAAUUAUUCACACUGCUGCCACCUAAAUUAAUGCAGCAUUUCCAGAAUACAUUUGACUGGUAUAUAUGUAAUCAGAAAUAAACAUUUUUGGACUUCUACCCUGGAUCUAUGAGAACCAGAGUAAUAUUAAAAAUGACAUGGUGAUUUAUUCAUGUUUCUUGAUUAACUUUUUACCAUCAAAUUUGUGACAGCUAAAAACUCUUUCAGUUUUGAUGAUGAUUAAUCCAUAUGAUGUGGCAGAUAUCCAAUAAGUAUGAUACUGUGAGUUUUUCUUGAUUUUCCUGUAUCUACAAAAUUGUGUUUAUUCACUUUUCCUGUAUUAUGUGUCAAUGUCUUCCAAAUUUUUAUUUUCUCUCAUGUCCUUAUUCUUUCCAGAAAUAAUUCUUGUGAAGCAGCAUCCUCAUAUAAUUCAUUGACAUUACAGUUCUUGAUAGAGUUGUGUUUCUUGUCACAUCUCUUAUUACUUAAAUCCUAUAUUAAUUUCUUUGUAAGACUCUGGACAGAAACAGAAGUGUGACAUUUGACAGCAAAGACCAUAGUCUUAUGUAAUAGUAGACAACAGUAGUAGUCUGUUCAGCACAAUCAUUAAUUGUUCAGGUAUUCAUUCUAUUCAAACAUAUGAUUUUUUUUUUUUUUUUGAAAAAAAAAGUGAUUGAUCAUAGCCAUUGAUAAAAACCUUAUACGGAUCCUUAUAUUAAAAAUUCCCCUGUGAGUUGGUCAGAUUUCUGCUCCAGAAGUCUGCAAGGGAAAAUGUAAGAUAUCUUGGACUCUUUUUUAUUAUUAUUAUUUAGCUAUAUUGUUAUGUACAUGCAUUACAUUACACACUUGUUUGGAAAUAUUUAGCUAGUAAACAAUGUCCAUACCAGAUUCUGGGUAUACUAAACAAUAAGAGUUGUUUAGUGUAAGAACUGGGGGCCCAAAGCCUGGACACAGAACUCUAGAUGGGACCCUCACUAAGGCAGAGUAGAGGGGUAUGGUUACCUCCCUUACCUUACUGGUCACUCCUCUUUUGACACAGUCCACAGUAUGGUUAGCCUUCUGGCCUACAAGCACACACUGUUGGCUCAUAUACAGAACCUCCAAGUAUUUCUCAGAGGACUGCUCACACCGAGUUCUCCCUAUCUAUUUAGAUGUCUGGGAUUGCCUUGACCCAGAUGUUGUACCUUGCAAUUGGCUUUGUUGAAGCUCAUUAGACUCACAUGGGCGUUCUCAAGCUUGUCCAGGUCUCUGUCUCCCUUUCUACACUUUUAUAAACAUAUAUUAUUAUGUUUCCCUUUUCCCAGUCACUGGGGAAUUUUGCUCUUCUCUUAUAGUGGGAGGGAUUUUGUUCCCCCAGCCCUCACCUAGAAUUUCAAGGUCUUGAGAGACUGCCGCAUUAAAGUGUUAAUGCCCACGUCAGCACUACAGGUCCACUUGUGCUUAUCUGGACUUCUAUAACCAACAAUCAACAGUAGAUUACAUGGCCACACAAAUGAGAACUCUUAUGAUUACAAUUACAGUUUCACUCAUAGUGCAGAGCACCUUCAUCUAACCGCAUUCUAACGGACUUGAACAAUAACUCUUAAGGAGCUUGGCUGUGCCUAAUGAGAACUUUUAUGACUAGCUUGUAGAAUAGUGCUCUUUAUUGGAGCAACAGAUUACAGAUUCUUAUGAAUUGCUGGUGAUAAAUACACAGUAUACAGAGCAUGUGCAAAUAUCAAUAAUGUGAAUAAUAAAGUCAACUGUAAACACAUUAAACUAUGGAAUGAUUUUACAGAGAUUUCUAAGUUUCACAGGAAAAGGACUCAAUGUAACUGAGUGUGUGAAUCUUACACAAUAGAUGUCCCUAUGUAGGGAAAAGAGAGGCUAAGCCCGUUGACUGGUCCCAGAAGUCAGUGGUGUUCUCCUGUCUCAACUGCAGUGGUAUCUUCCCCAGUAUUCCUUCUUUUUUUUUAAGCCAGUUUUAUACAAUUUUCUUACUUUCAGACAGAACUCGAGUGACUCUAAUCAUAACUAUAUUUGUUGUGACUGGUGCAAAUAAAAAUUGAAAAGCUGCUGAGUCAGGAUGACUACUAUGCAGUUUAUCAGUUCCACAAUACCACCAAGUUCCCACCCCUGUGAUCUUAUCAUGGAGCCUGACCGAGAAGUUUCACAGCUCGUUCCACCGCCUGUGCUGUAUCUCUUAGAGUCAGCAUACCAAGCUCCCCUGAUGCUUCUAACAAUCUAAAGUUUUCAGGUGUAGCAGACCAAAGAAAAAAGCCUCAUCUGUAAUAUGCCUAGAAUUGUCUCAAACACUUGCAAGAUAGGACAAUCACCAUGACAUCAAACUGAAGGCCAAAGAGUUGGUUUGGAAGGGGGAGUUCUGUGCAAACAGGAUGAGCUUGUUCCCUCCAAAACUUCCCUGUUUUGCUGCAGAAAUUUUGUCUGCAAAACUGCAACCUGAUUUUGCCAAACUGUUUUUUGCAAACUUGUUUGUUGCAAACUUACAGAUGAGCUUGAGAGAGUGAACCCUGUAAAUUUAGAAGGCAUUGAAGGAGGCCUGAGAGAACCUCUAGGGGGCUUUGAGAUUUCGAUACUUUGAAAAUUCUGGAUGAGUUCUCCCACAAACCAAGGACCACCCCUUUGGCUGGACCAGCACUGGAACCUGGACUGGUGAUCUCUUUCUUUGCCUGUUUUGCUCUCUCUCCCCUCAUCUCUCUCUCUCUCUCUUUUCUUUCUUUUUCUCUCAUAAAGUGAUUAAUGCGAGGCUUAUUUGAUUUCUUAUAAAGUCACAUAGUUUACCCUUGCAGUUUAGAGAGAUAUAAUUGUAAGAGUGCUAAUACUUUUAAGAUAAUUGUAAUACAGAGAUUCUCAUUAAAAAAGUUGAUUGUGUCUGGACCUUGAGUAUUGUUUUACCUUGAUCUAACUGGGGGGAUUUGUGAAUCUUAUCACCAGUCCCUCCCUUCACGGACAGGAAGUGACAGCAGUGCUAUGUUGCUUAGGAAAAUAUCAUGGAACAGACGCCUUUCAUUUUCACUGUAUUCCCCACAGGUGGUUUCUUCUAUGCUUUUGUUCCUUUAAGUGUGGUAUCUCUCAAUCUGAGGUUUUCUUCUGCUGCUUCCUAAAGUAACAGUAGCUCCUGGCUCUUUUCUGUCAUGCAGAAGUGUAUCUCCUUUACCAGUUUAUUUGCUAGCUGCUAAUAAAUCCAACUAGUGAAGAUCAGGUUUGUGGCCACCUGAGGAACUUGAUCACCUACAAGUCUAUGGGUCCCAAUGAGAUGCAUCCCAGAGUCCUGAGAGAAUUUGCUGAUGUAGUUGCCAAGCCACUCUUUGUGAUAUUUGAACAGUUGUGGCAAUCAGGAGAAGACCCUGGUAACUGGAAGAAAAGGCAGCAUCAUACCCAUUUUUAAUAAGGGUAAAAGGGAUGAUCCUGAGAACUACUGUCCUAUCAGUCUCACCUCUGUACCAGGAAAGAGAGCAGAUCCUCCUGGAAGCUAUACUAAGAUACAUGGAAGGCAAGGAGGUGAAGUAGGAGAACCAGCAUGGCUUCACCAGUGCCAAAUCCUGUUUGACUAACAUGGUGGCCUUUUAUGAUGGUGUCACUGCAUCUGUGUAUAAGGGAAGAGACACUGAUGUCAUCUAUCUGGUCUUCAGUAAGGCCUUUUACAUGAUACCCCCAUUACAUUCUUCUCUCCAAAUUGGAAAUAUAUGGAUUUGAUGGGUGGACUGUUCAAUGGAUGAAGAACUGGCUGCAGGAUUGAGUCCAGAGAGUUGAACUGACUAGGAAAUUAUUCCAACAACAAAGAAAUGGCAUAUUGACUUUUUUGAUGAAGAAUGCUCAUUACACUAACAGUAAGAAAAAGUCACUUUUGUACUGACACAUGAGUAUUGUUUCUUUGUGACAUGUAUUCUGAUACUUUCUUACUUAUUUGUGUGUGUCUUACUUUGGUAUCACUAAAACAAAGGAAAAUAAACAUCACUAGCUGUGUAAAGGAGGGUCAGCUGCGAUUUAGAUCGAAAGGAAGAAAAAUGUUCAGUGUAAAACUUCACUUACGUGCCCCAAACAUACCUAUGUUCAUGGUGAUUAUCUACUAGGAAAAACCACAGUGUGAUUGCCAAAUUUACUCCUCAAGACAGAGGGAAAAGGAACAAAAGAGUCAUGUUACUGUGUUUUCCCACCAGACUUUUCUGUCAUUUGAAAAUAUGAAAAAGCUUAUACUGCUUUUUUUGGGCAGUCUAAGUACUAUUCUCAGCUCAUUAUAGUGCUUAUCCUCCUUAUCUUUUGCAGCAGUCAGAGUUGUCAAAAUGUGCAGGCAUUUUUUCCUCAGCAAAUACGUGUAGCUCCCUGGCAGAACUCUCGGGUAUCUGAGCUGGCAGCUUUGGUGCUGUCACUUGAACUGUUACGUACAUGUACUGCUGAUUAGUUCUUCUUGCUGUUGUAUUCACCCACAUCAUUGUUGCUUGUCUUGUAGAUGUUAUUUUUCUUUCAUUAUAACUUGUGCUCUUUCACUUUUUUUCACUGAGACUUCCUUGAAACUGAGAGUUAUUUUUUGUCUCAUCUUUUUAAUCACAUCAUACAAGCAAAAUAUGCAUAAAGGGGUCAUUUUCUCAUUUAGUUUUCUUUGAGAAUUAGAACUGUGAUAUUCCACUGAACAUACGUAUAUAAUGAAAGUUUAUGAGCAUGACUGAAUCACGUAAGUGAAACUGUACAUAUCUGUGUUGUACAGACAUGACAGAAAAAUAAGAAACCUAAGGGAAAUAUGGCAGUCAUAACUGUUUUCUUACCAUCACUUAGGUUGUUCUGUCAUCUUCAUAAUUUCAUCUAGCCAGUUUCAUAUAUGCCAUGAUAUCCUAACAUAAUUUUGGUAAUGUUAUUCCUGAUAUAAAAUGGAAAGUCUACUUUGUGCAAAGGAGAAAUCAUAAAAGGGAUUUAGAAAUUAAUAAGCCAAAAAAUGGUGGAGGAGAUCGAGCAGGCUAAAAGGCAAGAUGAGCUCCAAAGUUAAUACUAUGAGAAAGAGAAUAAUUCAACUCUUUUAUUUGUUGAUGACAUAGUAGGUAUUAGAAGGCAAGUCAUUUUGCACAUGUACAGCAAGUUUCAUAACAGUAACAAAAACAAACCAAAAACCACAGUGUUAUCUUAGAGAAGGUACGAAUAAAUAGAAUUACAAGUAUACUUCUGAGGGUGAAGGAAAUCUCUUGAUAUUGAGAGAAUUAACAUAGUUUGAUCAGGUUUUUUUUUGUUUGUUUUUUGUUUUUUUUUUAAUGGUAAAUUUAUAAAUAUCAUUAUAGCAUUCAACAUUAAAAAAAAUCUAAAAAAUCCAGCAGUUAAAAUCUAUUAAAAUAUUUUAAUAUUGUUAUUUACAUUGUGAAGUGCAGUUGUAUUUUGUUUAUGCUUUAGGCUCUUCUGUGAAAUUAUUCUCCUAAAUUUUUCAAAAUGACAAAAGCAUUUGUGAGAUAGAAAAUAAUUUACCUGCCAGGUCUAAUUACAGUGCAUAAAUGCUUUCUUGGGUAGAAAAUGCUAGAGCCUUUAUUAAUGAAAAAGAGAAACGUGUAACAAGAAUCAAGCACUGGAAAUUCAAUCCAGAUAAAUUCAAAUACUAAAGAUAAAGAAGAUUUAUAACUCCAGACUUAAACAACCAUUAGAAGCAGUAGAUUCUUCAUCACUGAAUAUUUUUCAAAAUCAUGAUUGAGUCCUGUAUACAUGCCUACCUUGUGUACCAUUUCAGAACAGCCAUCUGAUUUUUGUUUUUCAAAAUUCGGUGAUCAUAAGGGCAGGACUACUGUUAGUCUAGAUGGAGUUGACAUAGGUCUUGAUGUGAUAGUCUCAUGAACCAUAAAUAUUUCCAAGGCACAAAGCUACACUACAGAUAUUUCCAAGAUGUGUCUAGCAUGAAAACACAGUUUUCAUGAAAAAACUUAGGCAUGAACAGAGAUGUAAGGCUGUCCUAUUCUAGUUAAAUGAUUUGAUAGCCUGUGAGUCGGUCAAUUUACUCAAUCCAUGUGACUUAGGGGGUUUUAAUUCUUUCCAAUUUCUAUGCAUCUGCUCUCAUCACUAGAUUGUUAUGCAAAAGAUUGCAUGGCACAUUUUAGAAUGAAUGUAAUUGUUUUUGUUUGUUUGUUUGUUUUUUUGUAUGAUUUACACUUCAUAAAAGACAUUGUUUCCUGUUUGAUUUCAAUGAAUCUCCCAGACUGGUACUUGUCAUACCAGCGGUCCCUGUACACAGUCUCUAAAUACAGAUUAAGCUCAAACCAGAGAAGACUUCUACAAAGUCAGUUGCUAGUGUUAGGUAUUUGUGAGACUCUUCAGUCCAGAAGGCAUAGUGACAAUUUAAAUUUUGUAAGUGAAUAUUUUAGGAAGAAAAUAGGUUUUAUUGAUUGCUUCCUUAGUCAGAGAGAAAUAUCUCAUUUGCCUGCCCACUCAUCUAAUCUUAUACUCGUUAGGAAAUUAUCAUGACUGCUUUCCUAAGAAAAUCAGUUUUAGUCAAAUAUAUGUUCUUCAAAGAAAAGAUAAUUGGCUGUAACUCUCUGUUUGCUCAUACAUAGCUAUCUUGAUAAAAAUCAAGAAAAGAAACUCAUAGUUUGUGAAACCAAUAUUUAAUUAUAAUAAAACUUUUUUUCCCCCAAAAGAUGAUCCAGAAAUAAGCAAUUAUAUUGAUUAGAUUUUGCAUAGUAAUUCCAAUUUUAAUUCUUCAAAUAUCUUGUGAAAAAAAUUGUUAUUUUACACGACAGGAAAUGUUUGUCUUUAGAAAGAUUUAUCUUUCUCUAUUCCCAUAGGAGUAUAAUCUGAGUUUUAACCCAUCAUAUACAUAUUUACAUAUGUGCAUACUUUUUGGUGCUUAACUGUGUUUCAUACUGCUAACACAAAUUUGGGGAAAAGGAUAAUUUGAGAUUUGUGCUUCCCAUAUGUCUAAUACAAUUUGCAAGCCAUCUACUGUAUCACUUGUAAGCUUCAGAUUCUUUUCAUAUGAUUUGAUUUUCUAUCGAGGCAACAAGAUGGACUUCUGUUUUGCUUCAGAAAUCAUUCCCUGACAUCACCACACACUUUAAGGUAGCUGAGACCAAUUCAGCCUUUUGCAGCCUUUUAAGUAUCUGAGCACUGCACUUCAAAAAUGUUAUCAGUUGAAUUUGUUGAUCUGAGUAUGUACCAAAACAGAUACCAUGCAGCAUCUCUAAGUUGUAUGUUAGUAUAAAUUAGAGGUCAGAAAGCAUUUUUUUGAAAGGAACUUUAGGAAGUUCCCAUGAAGAAGAGAUGCUCAAAUAUUAGUUUUGUUUUCUUGCUGAUAUAUGUAGUGAAUCUCUCCUACAUCUGAAAGUUCAAAACUGUUGUAUGCGUAGCGAGGGAAACGAGGUGUGUUGUAGGCGUAGCGAGGGAAACGAGGUGUGACGCGUGCAGGUUCCUAUGCCACCUGUGUGUUAUGCCACCUGUGUGUGCCAAGUGUAACUUCGUGAUUGGAGGAAACACUUGUAUUUAAACACGUAGCCUAUAGCAAUAAA
Molecule: long non-coding RNA, 7642 nt
Organism: Gallus gallus (chicken)
Lineage: Eukaryota; Metazoa; Chordata; Aves; Galliformes; Phasianidae
Exons: 2
Source: RefSeq, a predicted model, not a curated record